UUGAAAAGAACUUUGAAGAGAGAGUUCAAGAGUACGUGAAACCGUUCAGGGGUAAACCUAAGAAACCCAAAAGAUCGAACGGGGAGAUUCAUCGUCAGCGACGCUGGCUUCGCGUCGGUGGGCGAUGUCCCGCGGGGCCUCGCGGCUCGCGCGCGGACACGCCGCCGUGCGCUCGAUGUCCGGCGUUUCGUCGUCGUGCACUUCUCCCCUAGUAGAACGUCGCGACCCGCUGGGUGUCGGUCUACGGCCCGGGUGCGGUGGCUGACGCGUCGCCGGUAAAACGGCACGCGUCAAACCCCCGGUCGCCCGGCCGGCUGCCCGGCGGUACACGCAAGGUAUCAGGCCGCACCGCGCGCGCGCCGCGCUCUCUCACGGGGGCGCGCGCGCGCGCGCGAUCAGUGCGUCGAGGCCGUCGCAAGCGCGCGCCACGGUACACGGAGGAUAAACGGACCUGGCGCCGUCACCGGUCCUGGCCCGCUGUUGGUCGCACGGUUAACCUUCGACAGGCCCGCGAACGUCCCCCCUACGCCGCCGGGGCGACCCGACGGCGUUCGCGGGGACCGAUACCGGUCGGCGACGCUACUGCUUUGGGUACUCUUAGGACCCGUCUUGAAACACGGACCAAGGAGUCUAACAUGUACGCGAGUCAUUGGGACUAGCGGUAUACCUAAAGGCGCAAUGAAAGUGAAGGUCGGCCCUGGUUGUCGACCGAGGGAGGAUGGGCCGCGUCCCGACGCGGCCCCGCACUCCCGGGGCGUCUCGUUCUCAUCGCGAGAAGAGGCGCACCCAGAGCGUACACGUUGGGACCCGAAAGAUGGUGAACUAUGCCUGGUCAGGACGAAGUCAGGGGAAACCCUGAUGGAGGUCCGUAGCGAUUCUGACGUGCAAAUCGAUCGUCGGAACUGGGUAUAGGGGCGAAAGACUAAUCGAACCAUCUAGUAGCUGGUUCCCUCCGAAGUUUCCCUCAGGAUAGCUGGCACUCGGCCGUUCCGCACGGAACGCGCGCGAGUCUCAUCUGGUAAAGCGAAUGAUUAGAGGCCUUGGGGCCGAAACGACCUCAACCUAUUCUCAAACUUUAAAUGGGUGAGAUCUCUGGCUUUCUUGAACUAUGAAGCCACGAGCAUCUCGGAUCAGAGUGCCAAGUGGGCCAUUUUUGGUAAGCAGAACUGGCGCUGUGGGAUGAACCAAACGCGGAGUUAAGGCGCCCAACUCGACGCUCAUGGGACACCAUGAAAGGCGUUGGUUGCUUAAGACAGCAGGACGGUGGCCAUGGAAGUCGGAAUCCGCUAAGGAGUGUGUAACAACUCACCUGCCGAAGCAACUAGCCCUGAAAAUGGAUGGCGCUGAAGCGUCGAGCCUAUACUCCGCCGUCAGCGGCAAGUGGGGCGGCCGUGCGCGCCAGGGGCGUCUCUACCCUCGCGGGGGGGACGCACCCGGGACGACGCACGGGCCGCCACGAGGCCCUGACGAGUAGGAGGGUCGCGGCGGUGCGCGCAGAAGGGUCU
This 1505-nucleotide ribosomal RNA is filed under the name Pheidole pieli. Its description in RNAcentral is "partial 28S ribosomal RNA". It matches the Rfam family "Eukaryotic large subunit ribosomal RNA", at positions 364 to 1413 of the family's 3401-position model. Lineage: Eukaryota; Metazoa; Arthropoda; Insecta; Hymenoptera; Formicidae. The record is from RNAcentral.